Oncorhynchus tshawytscha (Chinook salmon) is the source of this 658-nucleotide long non-coding RNA. Lineage: Eukaryota; Metazoa; Chordata; Actinopteri; Salmoniformes; Salmonidae. The record is from Ensembl.
GGAGCAUGCUAGUUAGGUACAAGUGGUCGUCUCGGUCUUCCGUUAACAAGUGCUGGAACAUGGACAUUUUGCCACUUUAGGAACCCUAAGCCUAAUCUUCAUAAAAGAUACACCUACUAGCCUACCAUGUCUGAACCAGUCCCCCGGUUUUGGCUGUAGUCUUCCAGCCGAGAGAAGUUCACAGUGGGGUCCAGAGAAGCUGGGGGACUGCAGUGAACCACUGGAAGUCAAUGUGAUUGUUAAAGAGGAAGAGAGAGAAGACUAAGAGGAAGAGAGAGAACUUAGUGGAAGAAGAGAAUGUGGUGGAGGAGAAGAAAGGGAGGAAGAGAGAGAAGACUAAGAGGAAGAGAGAGAACUUAGUGGAAGAGAAUGUGGUGGAGGAGAAGAAAGGGAGGAAGAGAGAGAAGACUAAGAGGAAGAGAGAGAACUUAGUGGAAGAAGAGAAUGUGGUGGAGGAGAAGAAAGGGAGGAAGAGAGAACUUAGUGGAAGAAGAGAAUGUGGUGGAGGAGAAGAAAGGGAGGAGGAGAGAAGACUAAGAGGAAGAGAUUGAAAAGGAACAUAGACAGAAGUUAGAGGUAGAGGAAUGAAAGAAGAAGAGCAGGAGACCGAAGUCAAAGAGGAGGUAGAGGAGAAAAAGUAUAUAAAAAAGUAUAUGCC